RNAcentral lists this long non-coding RNA (314 nucleotides) under Vigna radiata. Its description in RNAcentral is "long non-coding RNA (VRAD_LNC017935)". Lineage: Eukaryota; Viridiplantae; Streptophyta; Magnoliopsida; Fabales; Fabaceae. The record is from RNAcentral.
GGGAAGAUUAGGUAUGUUGAAGAAAUUAUGGAAGAUGAAAUGAGCCCUACCAAAAGUGGUAAAUGGGUUGUGUUUGGUGAAGCAGAGUGGUGUGUAUAUGAUAUAGUUAAAGAAUCCAAAGAAAAUGGCCCCUACCCUAUAAACCCUAAAAUAUUGGACCCUACCAUGUGCAUGCCUUCAACGUUGCUGUGAGAAUACCACCCCUUUUAUUAUAAACACUCGUGUCAUAAUCGCAUGCAUUAAAAUAAAGACGUACAACUAAAAAGCUACAAAAAGCUAGAGGAACAAGAUAAGGUUAUAUUACUAUGUCUACU